This 253-nucleotide ribosomal RNA is filed under the name uncultured bacterium. RNAcentral's name for it is "partial 16S ribosomal RNA". It matches the Rfam family "Bacterial small subunit ribosomal RNA", at positions 524 to 776 of the family's 1533-position model. The record is from RNAcentral.
UACGAAGGGGGCUAGCGUUGUUCGGAUUUACUGGGCGUAAAGCGCACGUAGGCGGAUCGUUAAGUCGGGGGUGAAAUCCUGGAGCUCAACUCCAGAACUGCCUUCGAUACUGGCGAUCUUGAGUCCGGAAGAGGUGAGUGGAACUCCUAGUGUAGAGGUGGAAUGCGCAGAUAUCAGGAAGAACACCCGUGGCGAAGGCGGCUCUCUGGGACGGUACUGACGCUGAGACGCGAAAGCGUGGGGAGCGAACAGG